GACGAACGCUGGCGGCGUGCUUAACACAUGCAAGUCGAACGGAAAGGCCCUGCUUUUGUGGGGUGCUUGAGUGGCGAACGGGUGAGUAACACGUGAGUAACCUGCCCUUGACUUUGGGAUAACUUCAGGAAACUGGGGCUAAUACCGGAUAGGAGCUCCUGCUGCAUGGUGGGGGUUGGAAAGUUUCGGCGGUUGGGGAUGGACUCGCGGCUUAUCAGCUUGUUGGUGGGGUAGUGGCUUACCAAGGCUUUGACGGGUAGCCGGCCUGAGAGGGUGACCGGCCACAUUGGGACUGAGAUACGGCCCAGACUCCUACGGGAGGCAGCAGUGGGGAAUAUUGCACAAUGGGCGGAAGCCUGAUGCAGCAACGCCGCGUGCGGGAUGACGGCCUUCGGGCUGUAAACCGCUUUCGCCUGUGACGAAGCGUGAGUGACGGUAAUGGGUAAAGAAGCACCGGCUAACUACGUGCCAGCAGCCGCGGUGAUACGUAGGGUGCGAGCGUUGUCCGGAUUUAUUGGGCGUAAAGGGCUCGUAGGUGGUUGAUCGCGUCGGAAGUGUAAUCUUGGGGCUUAACCCUGAGCGUGCUUUCGAUACGGGUUGACUUGAGGAAGGUAGGGGAGAAUGGAAUUCCUGGUGGAGCGGUGGAAUGCGCAGAUAUCAGGAGGAACACCAGUGGCGAAGGCGGUUCUCUGGGCCUUUCCUGACGCUGAGGAGCGAAAGCGUGGGGAGCGAACAGGCUUAGAUACCCUGGUAGUCCACGCUGUAAACGGUGGGUACUAGGUGUGGGGUCCAUUCCACGGGUUCCGUGCCGUAGCUAACGCUUUAAGUACCCCGCCUGGGGAGUACGGCCGCAAGGCUAAAACUCAAAGGAAUUGACGGGGCCCCGCACAAGCGGCGGAGCAUGCGGAUUAAUUCGAUGCAACGCGUAGAACCUUACCUGGGUUUGACAUGGAUCGGGAGUGCUCAGAGAUGGGUGUGCCUCUUUUGGGGUCGGUUCACAGGUGGUGCAUGGCUGUCGUCAGCUCGUGUCGUGAGAUGUUGGGUUAAGUCCCGCAACGAGCGCAACCCUUGUUCACUGUUGCCAGCACGUUAUGGUGGGGACUCAGUGGAGACCGCCGGGGUCAACUCGGAGGAGGGUGGGGAUGACGUCAAGUCAUCAUGCCCCUUAUGUCCAGGGCUUCACGCAUGCUACAAUGGCUGGUACAGAGAGUGGCGAGCCUGUGAGGGUGAGCGAAUCUCGGAAAGCCGGUCUCAGUUCGGAUUGGGGUCUGCAACUCGACCUCAUGAAGUCGGAGUCGCUAGUAAUCGCAGAUCAGCAACGCUGCGGUGAAUACGUUCCCGGG
RNAcentral lists this ribosomal RNA (1343 nucleotides) under uncultured bacterium. Its description in RNAcentral is "16S ribosomal RNA". It matches the Rfam family "Bacterial small subunit ribosomal RNA", at positions 28 to 1378 of the family's 1533-position model. The record is from RNAcentral.